UAUCUCUGUAGAGUCUGCAUAUCAAUAAGCGGAGGAAAAGAAACUAACAAGGAUUCCCUUAGUAACGGCGAGUGAAGCGGGAAGAGCUCAAAUUUGAAAUCUUCAAGGUUUUACCUUGACGAAUUGUAGUUUAAAGAAGUGUUUUCUGUUGAAGUUUCGGUAAAAGUUCUUUGGAAUAGGACAUCAUAGAGGGUGAGAAUCCCGUAUUUGACCGUUAUUUUCAGCUGUGUGAUACACUUUCAACGAGUCGGAUUGUUUGGGAAUGCAGUCCAAAAUGGGUGGUAAAUUUCAUCUAAAGCUAAAUACUGGCGAGAGACCGAUAGCGAACAAGUACCGUGAGGGAAAGAUGAAAAGAACUUUGAAAAGAGAGUUAAACAGUACGUGAAAUUGUCAAAAGGGAAGCGUUUGACACCAGUGUUGUUUUCUCGAAAAUCAAUUAAAAAUGGCUGAUUUUGUGUUGUAUUGACUUUAUCAGCUUUCUGCACUUUUUUCUUGUCUUUUUUAAUGCACUUUUCGUUUAACAAGUCAACAUCAAUUUCUUUUGUUGUAAAAGGGUCAUUGGAAGGUGGCUUUCUUUUCGGAGAAAGUGUUUAUAGCCUUUGACUUCUGCAAUCGGAGAGAUUGAGGUCUGCAGCGUAGAUCCUUCGGGGUUAGAUGCAUUUGUGCUAAGUUAUAGCCUUUCAUAGACAACUUGUUGACUAUGAUCAGUCAUGUAGCUUACUCGCUUAUGUUAUUUUACCUACGCUUAGGAUGUUGAACGCGCACAGAGUCUC
Molecule: ribosomal RNA, 773 nt
Filed under: uncultured Neocallimastigales
Lineage: Eukaryota; Fungi; Neocallimastigomycota; Neocallimastigomycetes; Neocallimastigales
Description: partial large subunit ribosomal RNA
Rfam family: Eukaryotic large subunit ribosomal RNA
Source: RNAcentral